UAUAACUCAGCAGAACAACUGAGGAAAUUUGGGUUUUGAUUUAUAAGAUUCCUGGUUUUGAAACGGUUGCAUUUUAAAGAUCCAUGAAAGGGAAAGGAUGAUGAAGAUGGUGUGACAAGAUGAGUAGGCUGCUUAAUUUUGUGUAGACAGAAAUCAGUGUUUGUCACUUUUUCCAACUCUGUUCCAAAAGCAAAAAGGGUUUUCUUGUGAGUUUAAAGUUCUGAAUUUUUUUAUUAUGGUUUCAAUUUGGUGGCUUUCUUGACUGAAUUCAAAUUUCACACAGCAGUCAAUUGGGGACAAAAAAAGGAAAGCAUUGGCAGACACAAAUUGUUCAAAUUGAGGAGAAAUAUGAUCCACCCACCAAAGGGUUUUCAUGAAUUUAAAGAAAUCUUUGCUCAUCAUGAAUCAUGAGCAUGCUUUUGUCAAUUGACAUUGUUUCUUCCAUUAGAACCCUAAUUUUGAAUCUGUUGUUAUGUUGCUGAAUUUAAUUUAUCAUGUUCAACAAGGACAAUUGCUUAAACUAAAACACACAUGAAGUGAUAUGUAAAGGCUUUCUAGGAUUGAGAUGUAAACAAUUCACCAAAUAUUUUCACCCAAAUAUAGACUAAUUACAACAAGAUUGAAGCAU
This 628-nucleotide long non-coding RNA is filed under the name Carica papaya (papaya). Its description in RNAcentral is "long non-coding RNA (CPAP_LNC006228)". Lineage: Eukaryota; Viridiplantae; Streptophyta; Magnoliopsida; Brassicales; Caricaceae. The record is from RNAcentral.